UCCGAUGUAGCUCAGCCGGUAGAGCAAGUGGCUGUUAACCACUGGGCCGGGGGUUCGAGUCCCUCCAUCGGAGCCA
This 76-nucleotide transfer RNA is filed under the name bacterium. Its description in RNAcentral is "tRNA-Asn". It matches the Rfam family "tRNA". From Rfam's summary of the family: Transfer RNA (tRNA) molecules are approximately 80 nucleotides in length. Their secondary structure includes four short double-helical elements and three loops (D, anti-codon, and T loops). The record is from RNAcentral. RNAcentral also lists the same sequence under 1 other name.